GAGAAACACGAGGGUGUAGAGAAGAGCAGAGUCGUACAGAUAGUGAGAGACAAACCAUAUAGCCUGCCGUUUAAUGUGUAUUUUAUAUACAUAGGACUGUGAACUGUUUUCCUUAUUACGCUACGAGUGUGAGUCGUCACCGUUUACUGAUGACAAAGUGUGGUUUCGUCGGACUGAAGCAACUAGCCAGCUUAGCUAAAACGCCGCAAUCGCCGGAGAUACGACGGUUGCAUUCUUCGCCCGCACGGACGGACCGGAGCGGAGACUGGUUGGGAGAGGUUUCGGAGGUCGACGCGGAUGUGUUGCUAUGGGUGGACUGCUGUUCAUCGCUUCUGUGCGGAGUGACACGGGUCUGGAAAGAGGACGCGGUAGGAACUGUUCUCAUUCUCCACGCAGCCUUGGAGGUGACGACUGAGAUAAGAUGGCUUCAGACAGCUGUUUGCUAGAACUUCACUGCACAACACGCAUUGAGGCUUCGGGCAAUCUGUAUCGCCGAUCCAAGUGAAGCCCAGACCCAGAUAAUUGUCAUCAUAUUUCCUUCUUUUUUUCCCCGUCUGGUGUUCACCCUCAUCACCUCUUUUUCUUGCCAUCUCCUUCCCUCCUCUUCGGUUUCCUCCCACGCAACUUCUGACUCCCGCUCAUUUUCUUUCUCUAUUUUCUCCGUCCCUGUUGCCUCCAAAUCCUCACUAUCUCUUGGUUCCUCUCCUCUUUCGUGACUAACAACUUUAUCAUUAGACGUCCCACUUGACAGUUUCCCUGAUUUCAGCCAGUUAAGCAUAUUUGUUAUAUGUAUAUGGAAUGAAUGAAACGAGUCCGCACGAAUAUAAUAGCGGCUGCAGUGCAUAAAAGAAAAGCAGUGCGUAGAAGACAGCAGCUGUCUUCUUCUAUGUUUCUAAAAAUAAAACAAAUAAAUUAUAUUUUUUAUUUAAAAU
Molecule: long non-coding RNA, 932 nt
Organism: Esox lucius (northern pike)
Lineage: Eukaryota; Metazoa; Chordata; Actinopteri; Esociformes; Esocidae
Source: Ensembl